Long non-coding RNA from Girardinichthys multiradiatus, 485 nucleotides. RefSeq lists it as uncharacterized. The transcript is spliced from 2 exons. Lineage: Eukaryota; Metazoa; Chordata; Actinopteri; Cyprinodontiformes; Goodeidae. The record is from RefSeq and is a predicted model, not a curated record.
CACUCAUCCGUAUGAGUUUGACUUCUACCUGUGCAGCCACGCUGGAAUCCAGGGCACCAGUCGGCCGUCCCACUACCACGUCCUCUGGGACGAUAACUGUUUCACUGCAGACGAGUUCCAGCUCCUCACCUACCAGCUGUGCCACACCUACGUCCGCUGCACGCGCUCAGUCUCCAUCCCAGCUCCGGCCUACUACGCCCACCUGGUGGCCUUCCGCGCUCGCUACCACCUGGUGGACAAAGAGCACGACAGGUGAGUUUUAUGAACCUCUUUCCUUUCUGUGAUCUAGACAUUGUGAUCGCUUGCCCCCAGGUCUUCUGAAGGUCUUCUUGAGUUUGUGCAGAAAAAAGCUCCACAGUGCUGGAUGAAACACAGACAGCCUGAAAGUUUGUUCCUAAAUAAAAUCAGGUUUAAGUCCACAUUAGUGGACAAAAGAAGCAGCUGCAGGCCUGAAGGUCUAAAUAUGGAUGGGAAACAGAAGAGGG